RNAcentral lists this ribosomal RNA (3010 nucleotides) under Candidatus Electryonea clarkiae. Its description in RNAcentral is "23S ribosomal RNA". It matches the Rfam family "Bacterial large subunit ribosomal RNA". The record is from RNAcentral. Lineage: Bacteria; Pseudomonadati; Candidatus Electryoneota; Candidatus Electryoneia; Candidatus Electryoneales; Candidatus Electryoneaceae.
GGUUAAGUUAUUAAGAGCAUGAGGUGGAUGCCUGGGCUCUGGAAGGCGAUGAAGGGCGUGGUAAGCUGCGAAAAGCGUCGGUGAGGAGCAAACAUCCGUAGAUCCGGCGAUUCCCGAAUGGGACAACCCGACGAAAGUCAUGUUUCGUCAUCCCCGUCUGAACACAUAGGACGGGUGAAGCCAACCCGGGGAACUGAAACAUCUAAGUACCCGGAGGAAAAGAGAACAACCGUUAUUCCCCUAGUAGCGGCGAGCGAACGGGGAGCAGCCUAAACUGGUAUCGUGUAAGUUUGCAGACGUUGCGAUACCGGGGUUGCGGGACUCUACAGGCUGACUGCAAUAAGCCAGGGAGUUACAAAAUUCAUUUAUAGCCGAAUCGUACUGGAAAGUCGAACCAUAGGAGGUGACAGUCCCGUAGGCGAAAUAGAUGAAUCUCCCGUAGAAGUUCCCAAGUAGCACGGGACACGAGAAACCCUGUGUGAAUCUGGCAGGACCAUCUGCCAAGGCUAAAUACUCUCCAGAGACCGAUAGUGUACCAGUACCGUGAGGGAAAGGUGAAAAGAACCCCUGUGAGGGGAGUGAAAUAGUACCUGAAACCUCAUGCUUACAAGCAGUGGGAGCCUGAAUACCUGAUUUCGGUCAGGUUCUAGGGUGACCGCGUACCUUUUGCAUAAUGGGCCAGCGAGUUGCUCGUCAUUGGCAAGGUUAAGGAGUUAAGCUCCCGAGCCGUAGCGAAAGCAAGUCUUAAUAGGGCGAUUUAGUCAGUGGCGGCAGACGCGAAACCGGGUGAUCUAUCCAUGGCCAGGUUGAAGCGUAGGUAAAACUACGUGGAGGACCGAACCAGUAGACGUUGAAAAGUCUUUGGAUGAGCUGUGGAUAGGGGUGAAAGGCCAAUCAAACCCGGAGAUAGCUCGUACUCCCCGAAAUGUUUUUAGGAACAGCCUCAUGAUAGUCUUCCGGAGGUAGAGCACUGACAGGGCUAGGGGCCCCACAAGGUUACCAACCCCUUUCAAACUCCGAAUGCCGGUUGUACGUUUCAUGGGAGUGAGGGUGCGUGAGAUAAGUUGCGUGCCCGAGAGGGAAACAACCCAGACCGACGGCUAAGGUCCCCAAGUGCGAUUUAAGUGAUGAAAGGAUGUGAAGUCGCGCAGACAACUGGGAGGUUGGCUUAGAAGCAGCCAUUCCUUUAAAGAGUGCGUAAUAGCUCACCAGUCAAGUAAUUUUGCGCCGAUAAUUCUCGGGACUAAAAUCGCCACCGAAGCCACGGUUCCAAAUUCAUUUUGGAAGGUAGGGGAGCAUUCCGUUUACCGUUGAAGGUGUACUGUAAGGUAUGCUGGAGGACACGGAAAAGACCAUGCUGGCAUGAGUAACGAUAAAACAGGUGAGAAACCUGUUCACCGAAAGCCUAAGGGUUCCUGAGUAAAGUUAAUCUGCCCAGGGUUAGUCGGCCCCUAAGUCGAGGCCGAAAGGCGUAGACGAUGGAAAACAGGCUAAUAUUCCUGUACCGGUGACAGCGCGUUAUACCUAUGGGGUGACGCAGAAGUGAAAGGCCCGCCACGGGUUGGAUCGUGGUCUAAGGAUGUAGGCGGCGAGAGUAGGCAAAUCCGCUCUUGCUUAACGCUGAGAUCUGAAUGGGAGCCGUAAGGCAUAAACGGGCCCUAAUCCUGCUGCCAAGAAAAACCUCUAUGGAAGUUCUGUCGCCGACCGUACCGUAAACCGACACAGGUAGGCGGGGAGAGUAUCCUAAGGUGCUCGAGAGAACCGUGGUUAAGGAACUCGGCAAACUAGCUCCGUAACUUCGGGAGAAGGAGCGCCUCCGGCGGUGAGUCACUUCGCGUGAUGAGCUUCUGGAGGCCGCAGAGAAAUGGCCCAAGCGACUGUUUACUAAAAACACAGGUCUCUGCUAAGUCGUAAGACGACGUAUAGGGACUGACACCUGCCCGGUGCCGGAAGGUUAAGGGAAUGUGUCAUCCGUCUUCGGACGGAGAAGCACUGAACCGAAGCCCCGGUAAACGGCGGCCGUAACUAUAACGGUCCUAAGGUAGCGAAAUUCCUUGUCGGGUAAGUUCCGACCUGCACGAAUGGUGUAACGAUUUGGGCGCUGUCUCAACCACGGACUCGGUGAAAUUGAAUUCUCGGUGAAGAUGCCGGGUACCCGCGGCCGGACGGAAAGACCCCGUGGACCUUUACUACAGCUUGAUAUUGAAUUUUAGCUUAGCAUGUGUAGCAUAGGUGGGAGGCUUUGAAGCGGUGACGCUAGUCAUCGUGGAGCCAUCGUUGAAAUACCACCCUUGUUCUGUUGGAAUUCUAACUUGAUCCUUUAGCAGGUUUGAGGACAGUGUCAGGUGGGUAGUUUGACUGGGGCGGUCGCCUCCUAAAGAGUAACGGAGGCGCCCUAAGGUUCCCUCAGUAUGGUCGGUAAUCAUACGUAGAGUGUAAAGGCAUAAGGGAGCUUAACUGCGAGUCAGACAAGACGAGCAGGUGCGAAAGCAGGGCUUAGUGAUCCGGCGGUAGAGAAUGGAAUUGCCGUCGCUCAACGGAUAAAAGGUACCCCGGGGAUAACAGGCUUAUCGCCCCCAAGAGUUCAUAUCGACGGGGCGGUUUGGCACCUCGAUGUCGGCCCGUCGCAUCCUGGGGCUGGAGAAGGUCCCAAGGGUUUGGCUGUUCGCCAAUUAAAGCGGCACGCGAGCUGGGUUUAGAACGUCGUGAGACAGUUCGGUCCCUAUCCGCCGUGGGCGCACGUGACUUGAGAGGAUCUGUUCCCAGUACGAGAGGACCGGAAUGGACGAACCUCUGGUGUACCGGUUGUUGCGCCAGCAGCACCGCCGGGUAGCUAUGUUCGGAUCGGAUAAGCGCUGAAAGCAUCUAAGUGCGAAACCGACCUCAAGAUUAGGUCACGCUUCUGUAAAGACUAAAGGCACGUUCGAGAUCAGGACGUUGAUAGGCAACAGGUGUAAGCACAGUAAUGUGUUCAGCCGAGUUGUACUAAUUAGCCGUGAGACUUACCGAU